Molecule: long non-coding RNA, 549 nt
Filed under: Numida meleagris (helmeted guineafowl)
Lineage: Eukaryota; Metazoa; Chordata; Aves; Galliformes; Numididae
Description: lncRNA (ENSNMEG00000006070.1)
Source: RNAcentral
CCUAGCUUCUUGGUCCGCUAUUCCAUAAUAAUCAAGCACUGUAGUUACCAUGGCAACUGACAGUUACUGAUGUAAGGGAUACUAACCACAUUUCUUCUGUUUCCUCUACAGCACAUCACCCAUUUCGUGUAGGUUUGUGACUUUGGAUCCUGCUGCUCCAGGCUGGGAAUCAUGCUCCAUCACCUGUAGGAUGGAGCCCAGCACCUCAUCAAGCAGAAGGACUGCAUGCUCCAGCCUUGUCACCAGCAGAGCUUCCCCUUCCACACCAAUCUCACUGGCUCCAAAAGCCAUUCUUCCCCCUACAAAAUGGGGCAGGAUCUGUGGCCUAGCCGUGCUGUGAAAGAGCUCUGUACAACAGCUGCAUGUGGCCUCACCAAACUCCCAACAGACUGCACCAGCAGAGUGCUCUGCAAGGAGCACAGUAUUCUAGGGGCAGCUGUUCUGAAGCGGUAUACAGUGCAACGAUGCAACCAAUAUGGAUUUUCAGUCUUCACAGGAAGGAUGAUCUAAUGCAUCAGGGCUGGCUUCAGCCACAUCUGCCAAAAGGUG